AUGUACCACGCCUACACCCCGGUUUCUCCGUGCCGUCCACACCACCUCACGACUGCCCGCCACGCUUUGUUAGCC
This 75-nucleotide small RNA is filed under the name Xanthomonas sp. 3793. RNAcentral's name for it is "sRNA sX9". It matches the Rfam family "Xanthomonas sRNA sX9". The record is from RNAcentral. Lineage: Bacteria; Pseudomonadati; Pseudomonadota; Gammaproteobacteria; Lysobacterales; Lysobacteraceae.